UAUUUAAUAAGUUAUAUAUUCAAAAAUGUAAUUAGAGUAUGAUUUGUGUUAAAACUUUAAACUACCUAUGAAUUUAUAUAACUUAGAACACUAUUUUGAAAGAAAUUUAAUCCGUUUGAAAACUAGUUUAAUUGUAUGUUAAAAAUAAUCUUAUUGUUCGUUAACACUAAUAAAAAUAGUCGAAUCUCGAAAGAGUUCAUACUUAUUUGAUUAUAAAAUGUAAAAGAGACGUCAUUAAAAUAUUUUAAUUGUUAAUUACGAUUUUUUUUGUUUAACUACUUAAAUUUUUUUUUUAUAGUUGUCGACCAAAAAAAGAUUAUUUGUUUUGUCUAUCUUCAGAAGUUGAAACUAGGACUGGUCUAUCUCUUUGCCAAAAACUUCUCUAGCUUUAGCUGGUUAAGGUAUUGAACUAAAGAUGAAACCGAAUUACAAGUGAAAAUGUGUGAAUGAGACAAUUCAUCUUAGAAUGGAAGUCCAUCAUCGUUGUCUCCUUUGGAAACAGAGAUGAAGUUUUGAAAAUGACGUAUGAAAAUUGGAAGAUGUAAUAUUAGAACGAGGAGAGCAUGUGAGAAAGACCAAUCUGCGAGUUCAGAGUUUCCGUGUAUGAAAGAAGACUAAUUUACAUGCAUGUUCUUCUUUCUUGAAUUUUUAACUAAUUAAUUUAAUGAAAAAAAUGUCUGACAGAUUCUUUUAACAAUUGACUCUAAAUUCAUGUUUUGUUUCUGAUAUCGUCAUUUAUAUGUUUAUAAAUGAAAUUGAUAUAUUGCAAAUGGUUAGAAUUUUUCUUACAUCAUCA
This is a long non-coding RNA of Brassica napus (rape), 796 nucleotides long. RefSeq lists it as uncharacterized. Lineage: Eukaryota; Viridiplantae; Streptophyta; Magnoliopsida; Brassicales; Brassicaceae. The record is from RefSeq and is a predicted model, not a curated record. The transcript has 2 exons.